UGUAAACAUCCUUGACUGGAAGCUGUAAGUUGUUCAGAGGAGCUUUCAGUCGGAUGUUUACA
This is a non-coding RNA of Ailuropoda melanoleuca (giant panda), 62 nucleotides long. The record is from Rfam. Lineage: Eukaryota; Metazoa; Chordata; Mammalia; Carnivora; Ursidae.